RNAcentral lists this ribosomal RNA (676 nucleotides) under Pantoea sp. 116. RNAcentral describes it as "bacterial SSU rRNA". It matches the Rfam family "Bacterial small subunit ribosomal RNA", at positions 763 to 1438 of the family's 1533-position model. The record is from RNAcentral. Lineage: Bacteria; Pseudomonadati; Pseudomonadota; Gammaproteobacteria; Enterobacterales; Erwiniaceae.
GGGGAGCAAACAGGAUUAGAUACCCUGGUAGUCCACGCCGUAAACGAUGUCGACUUGGAGGUUGUUCCCUUGAGGAGUGGCUUCCGGAGCUAACGCGUUAAGUCGACCGCCUGGGGAGUACGGCCGCAAGGUUAAAACUCAAAUGAAUUGACGGGGGCCCGCACAAGCGGUGGAGCAUGUGGUUUAAUUCGAUGCAACGCGAAGAACCUUACCUACUCUUGACAUCCASAGAAUUUGGCAGAGAUGCMUUAGUGCCUUCGGGAACUGUGAGACAGGUGCUGCAUGGCUGUCGUCAGCUCGUGUUGUGAAAUGUUGGGUUAAGUCCCGCAACGAGCGCAACCCUUAUCCUUUGUUGCCAGCGCGUGAUGGCGGGAACUCAAAGGAGACUGCCGGUGAUAAACCGGAGGAAGGUGGGGAUGACGUCAAGUCAUCAUGGCCCUUACGAGUAGGGCUACACACGUGCUACAAUGGCGCAUACAAAGAGAAGCGACCUCGCGAGAGCAAGCGGACCUCACAAAGUGCGUCGUAGUCCGGAUCGGAGUCUGCAACUCGACUCCGUGAAGUCGGAAUCGCUAGUAAUCGUGGAUCAGAAUGCCACGGUGAAUACGUUCCCGGGCCUUGUACACACCGCCCGUCACACCAUGGGAGUGGGUUGCAAAAGAAGUAGGUAGCUUAA